Molecule: ribosomal RNA, 497 nt
Filed under: uncultured bacterium
Lineage: Bacteria
Description: partial 16S ribosomal RNA
Rfam family: Bacterial small subunit ribosomal RNA
Source: RNAcentral
GAUGAACGCUGGCGGCGUGCCUAAUACAUGCAAGUCGAGCGAACGGACGAGAAGCUUGCGUCUCUGAUGUUAGCGGCGGACGGGUGAGUAACCCGUGGAUAACCUCCCUAUCUGACUGGGAUAACUUCGGGACCCCGGAGCUAAUACCGGAUGAUAUUUUGAACCGCAUGGUUCAACAGUGAAAGACGGUCUUGCUGUCACUUCUAGAUGUAUCCGCGCUGCAUUAGCUGGUUGGUAAGGUAACGGCUUUCCACGGCAAGGAUGCAUAGCCGACCCGACAGGGUGAGCGGCAAAAAUGGGACGGAGACACGGUCCAGACUCCUACGGGGGCCAGACGUAGGGAAUCUUGCGCAAUGGGCGAAGGCCUGACGGAGCAACGCCGCGUGAGGUAUGAGGGUCUUCGAAUCGUAAAACUCUGUUAUUAGGGAAGAACAUAUGUGUAACUAACUGUGCACACCUUGACGGUACCUAAUCAGAAAGCCACGGCUAACUACGUG